This 484-nucleotide ribosomal RNA is filed under the name uncultured bacterium. RNAcentral describes it as "partial 16S ribosomal RNA". It matches the Rfam family "Bacterial small subunit ribosomal RNA", at positions 30 to 507 of the family's 1533-position model. The record is from RNAcentral.
AUUGAACGCUGGCGGCAGGCCUAACACAUGCAAGUCGAGCGGAUGAAGGGAGCUUGCUCCUGGAUUCAGCGGCGGACGGGUGAGUAAUGCCUAGGAAUCUGCCUUGUAGUUGGGGAUAACGUCCGGAAACGGGCGCUAAUACCGCAUACGUCCUGAGGGAGAAAGUGGGGGAUCUUCGGACCUCACGCUAUCAGAUGAGCCUAGGUCGGAUUAGCUAGUUGGUGGGGUAAAGGCCUACCAAGGCGACGAUCCGUAACUGGUCUGAGAGGAUGAUCAGUCACACUGGAACUGAGACACGGUCCAGACUCCUACGGGAGGCAGCAGUGGGGAAUAUUGGACAAUGGGCGAAAGCCUGAGCCAGAAAUGCCGCGUGUGUGAAGAAGGUCUUCGGAUUGUAAAGCACUUUAAGUUGGGAGGAAGGGCAGUAAGUUAAUACCUUGCUGUUUUGACGUUACCAACAGAAUAAGCACCGGCUAACUUCGUG